AUGAAGGCGGAGUAUAAAAUUCCAGCCUGUGUAAGCUAUUGCAAAGGUGGAGGGAGGGAGGGCACUGCCUUCUGUGUGAGGGCAGCGGCCUGUCUGCCAAUCCUGGCGAAGAGCAGCCCACCAGCUCCCUUGCAGGCAUCAUAUUAUGCACUGCCCCCUGUGUGGUUGACAACAUCCAUUUUUCCAUUAAUGUUCCAUUUUCCAAGGUUUCUGAUUUGUCAAAACUUGCCUAAGCCCCACAGCUUCAUCACUAAGUUUAUCAUAGAAAACGUAGCACUGACAGCAAAGAGAAAAUUGUCUUGGCCAGCAGAAGAGGAUUAUUUAGCUUAUGACGGAAUCUAAAUCCACACAGUGAUACAGAAAUAAGGUGCUUAUCCCACUUUAUGGGAACAAAUCCAGUUUCAGACUUCAUUUUGUUAAGCUACGCAAGACAAGCUGUUUUGGUCUCCUUUGGUAAGACAGACUUAUUCCUUUUCUGCAUGUGUUCCAGCUUGACUUUUUCUGUUUUGAUCGUGAAUGAUAUAUAAAUUCUUCUCCAAGUGGAAUUUUCUCAAUGCUUUGUCCAGUGGCAUUAGUACAUCUUUAUCUCCGCUGAAAAUAACAUAUCUGAUACAUCUUUAGUGGUUUUUUUUUCUGUUUUUUUUUCUCUGUUGCAACACAUUGGUAGAUCAUAACUCUUCUAAUAAUGCACUGGUUUGCCCAGACAUUUCUAUCAUUUUUAGCUCUCAGCUGAUGAUGAGUCAGCUUGGAGCAGUCAUUUUUUCUGUCAUUUUGCUAAGGCAUGAUUUGCACUUCUGCACGAUGCACUUUUGAAUUUAAACUGUUUCUCAUUCCAAGUCUCAUGAUCGUUCACUUAUCUCCAUAAAAUAUUCUUAUCUUCUCUAAAUAUUGGCAGUACCUCAAAAUACGUGUCACCAAGAAGUCUGAUCACCUGUCGGUGCUUUAAUGUAGCCAAUUCCUUAUUCACUUGGUGAUUUAAUUGGCUCCUGUCUUCUGCAGUGUGGUCUACUUUGAAUGUCUUACUAAAAUUCACACAGAUUAGGUGCAUUUGCCACUUACUUUAAAUCUUCAAUUUGUUUAAUAUGGGUAUUAAAUUGACCUUGUUUAGUCUGCUGCAGAUAAUCCUCUUUCCUCCUUCCAUAUCUUUAUUCUUUCCUUCACAGUUUGAUCUAGAGCUCCAUGUAACAUAGAGGUCAUACUAAUGGGCUUGUGGAUGUAUGAAACACUCUAUAUUCUUAAAUAGAGCUAUUAAAUUUGUUAUUUGCAGUUGCACAGUAAUACCCAUUCCCGGUGACUGAACGCCAAGUUAGUGCACAAAAUCUAUCAGCUAUCAAAUCCAGAAAUGCCCAGGUCCUAUCUAUAGAUUA
RNAcentral lists this long non-coding RNA (1367 nucleotides) under Phasianus colchicus (ring-necked pheasant). Its description in RNAcentral is "lncRNA (ENSPCLG00000021594.1)". Lineage: Eukaryota; Metazoa; Chordata; Aves; Galliformes; Phasianidae. The record is from RNAcentral.